UACGUAGGGGGCAAGCGUUGUCCGGAUUUACUGGGCGUAAAGAGCGCGCAGGCGGUCGUUCAAGUCGCGUGUGAAAGCCCCCGGCUCAACUGGGGAGGGUCACGCGAUACUGAUCGACUCGAAGGCAGGAGAGGGUAGUGGAAUUCCCGGUGUAGUGGUGAAAUGCGUAGAUAUCUGGAGGAACACCGGUGGCGAAGGCGACAUCCUGGACCGGUAUUGACGCUGAGGCGCGAAAGCCAGGGGAGCAAACGGG
RNAcentral lists this ribosomal RNA (253 nucleotides) under uncultured bacterium. Its description in RNAcentral is "partial 16S ribosomal RNA". It matches the Rfam family "Bacterial small subunit ribosomal RNA", at positions 524 to 776 of the family's 1533-position model. The record is from RNAcentral.